GACGGAAGGUGCAAGCGUUGCUCGGAAUCACUGGGCGUAAAGGGUGCGUAGGCGGCCUCUUAAGUCUGGCGUGAAAGCCCAGGGCUUAGCCCUGGAAGUGCUCUAGAAACUGAGAGGCUAGAGUGCCGGAGGGGAGAGUGGAAUUCCCGGUGUAGCGGUGAAAUGCGUAGAUAUCGGGAGGAAUACCGGUGGCGAAAGCGACUCUCUGGACGGCAACUGACGCUGAGGCACGAAAGCGUGGGGAGCAAACAGG
This 253-nucleotide ribosomal RNA is filed under the name uncultured bacterium. Its description in RNAcentral is "partial 16S ribosomal RNA". It matches the Rfam family "Bacterial small subunit ribosomal RNA", at positions 524 to 776 of the family's 1533-position model. The record is from RNAcentral.